AUUGAACGCUGGCGGCAUGCCUUACACAUGCAAGUCGAACGGUAACAGGUCUUCGGAUGCUGACGAGUGGCGAACGGGUGAGUAAUACAUCGGAACGUGCCCGAUCGUGGGGGAUAACGGAGCGAAAGCUUUGCUAAUACCGCAUACGAUCUACGGAUGAAAGCAGGGGACCGUAAGGCCUGGCGCGAUUGGAUGAGCCCAUGUCGGAUUAGCUAGUUGGCGGGGUAACGGCCCACCAAGGCGACGAUCCGUAGCUGGUCUGAGAGGAUGAUCAGCCACACUGGAACUGAGACACGGUCCAGACUCCUACGGGAGGCAGCAGUAGGGAAUAUUGGACAAUGGGCGCAAGCCUGAUCCAGCCAUGCCGCGUGAGUGAAGAAGGCCCUCGGGUUGUAAAGCUCUUUUGUCCGGAAAGAAAAGCACUGGGUUAAUACCCCGGUGUCCUGACGGUACCGGAAGAAUAAGCACCGGCUAACUUCGUG
RNAcentral lists this ribosomal RNA (482 nucleotides) under uncultured bacterium. Its description in RNAcentral is "bacterial SSU rRNA". It matches the Rfam family "Bacterial small subunit ribosomal RNA", at positions 30 to 507 of the family's 1533-position model. The record is from RNAcentral.